CGAGGCGGUUAGCUCAGCAAGUAGCUCUCGUGUGCGGAUAGUUUUCGUGAGGAUUUGACCUCUCGAGGCCUUGAGGAAAAUAUCUAUCGUGUUUGAUAUUUUUCACCUCGCGAGGAAAAAAUCUCAGCGUCUGCGGAUAUUGUGAGCUAAGUGCUGAGCUGUUUGAAUCAAUUAGCCAAUGACAACCCAUAGUUUCUUCAUGUGACAUGGAACAAA
Paramuricea clavata is the source of this 216-nucleotide non-coding RNA. The record is from the annotation of a GenBank genome assembly. NCBI's taxonomy places the organism in Eukaryota, Metazoa, Cnidaria, Anthozoa, Malacalcyonacea, Plexauridae.